UUAUUUGCGACAGUUUAACCGCGGGGCUCCCGGGAGAGGGCACCCGGUGUUCGGAGACGGCCCACGCGGAGUCGCCGAGUGUCGGGCCGGCGGAAGCCCUGGGAAGGGCCCCGACGGGACCUCGACGGCCUCACCUGCUGCGGGUCCGCUCGGGACGGCCCGUCCCCGUCUGCCGCUGCCCGCUGUGCGCGCACACCCUCCCCAAGAUCCAACCCAGUUGUGUCAGAGUUCCCCAAGACUAGCCUCUCAUUUAUUGAUUUGCCAGGACAUGAUGUGA
This 277-nucleotide long non-coding RNA is filed under the name Vulpes vulpes (red fox). RNAcentral's name for it is "lncRNA (ENSVVUG00000014352.1)". The record is from RNAcentral. Lineage: Eukaryota; Metazoa; Chordata; Mammalia; Carnivora; Canidae.